AUUGCUUCUCAGCCUUUUGGCUAAGAACAAGCGUAGUAUCUGUUCUUACCAGUUUAAUAUCUGAUACGUCCUCUAUGCGAGGACAAUGUAUUAAAUGGAUUUUUGGAGCAGGGAGUUGGAAUAGGUGCUUGCUCCGUCCGCGACACAUGUCAGCCUGGUAUUGCAGUACUUUCAGGAACGGUGCACCCCUC
Vicugna pacos (alpaca) is the source of this 191-nucleotide small nuclear RNA. Its record names the gene U2. It matches the Rfam family "U2 spliceosomal RNA". From Rfam's summary of the family: U2 is a small nuclear RNA (snRNA) component of the spliceosome (involved in pre-mRNA splicing). Lineage: Eukaryota; Metazoa; Chordata; Mammalia; Artiodactyla; Camelidae. The record is from Ensembl.